Molecule: ribosomal RNA, 897 nt
Filed under: Vibrio splendidus
Lineage: Bacteria; Pseudomonadati; Pseudomonadota; Gammaproteobacteria; Vibrionales; Vibrionaceae
Description: bacterial SSU rRNA
Rfam family: Bacterial small subunit ribosomal RNA
Source: RNAcentral
UGAUGCAGCCAUGCCGCGUGUAUGAAGAAGGCCUUCGGGUUGUAAAGUACUUUCAGUUGUGAGGAAGGGGGUAGCGUUAAUAGCGCUAUCUCUUGACGUUAGCAACAGAAGAAGCACCGGCUAACUCCGUGCCAGCAGCCGCGGUAAUACGGAGGGUGCGAGCGUUAAUCGGAAUUACUGGGCGUAAAGCGCAUGCAGGUGGUUCAUUAAGUCAGAUGUGAAAGCCCGGGGCUCAACCUCGGGAACUGCAUUUGAAACUGGUGAACUAGAGUACUGUAGAGGGGGGUAGAAUUUCAGGUGUAGCGGUGAAAUGCGUAGAGAUCUGAAGGAAUACCAGUGGCGAAGGCGGCCCCCUGGACAGAUACUGACACUCAGAUGCGAAAGCGUGGGGAGCAAACAGGAUUAGAUACCCUGGUAGUCCACGCCGUAAACGAUGUCUACUUGGAGGUUGUGGCCUUGAGCCGUGGCUUUCGGAGCUAACGCGUUAAGUAGACCGCCUGGGGAGUACGGUCGCAAGAUUAAAACUCAAAUGAAUUGACGGGGGCCCGCACAAGCGGUGGAGCAUGUGGUUUAAUUCGAUGCAACGCGAAGAACCUUACCUACUCUUGACAUCCAGAGAAGCCAGCGGAGACGCAGGUGUGCCUUCGGGAGCUCUGAGACAGGUGCUGCAUGGCUGUCGUCAGCUCGUGUUGUGAAAUGUUGGGUUAAGUCCCGCAACGAGCGCAACCCUUAUCCUUGUUUGCCAGCGAGUAAUGUCGGGAACUCCAGGGAGACUGCCGGUGAUAAACCGGGAGGAAGGUGGGGACGACGUCAAGUCAUCAUGGCCCUUACGAGUAGGGCUACACACGUGCUACAAUGGCGCAUACAGAGGGCAGCAAGCUAGCGAUAGUGAGCGAA